This 446-nucleotide ribosomal RNA is filed under the name uncultured bacterium. RNAcentral's name for it is "bacterial SSU rRNA". It matches the Rfam family "Bacterial small subunit ribosomal RNA", at positions 330 to 792 of the family's 1533-position model. The record is from RNAcentral.
GCCAGACUCCUACGGGAGGCAGCAGUGGGGGAUAUUGCACAAUGGGGGAAACCCUGAUGCAGCGACGCCGCGUGAGUGAAGAAGUAUUUCGGUAUGUAAAGCUCUAUCAGCAGGGAAGAAAAAAGACGGUACCUGACUAAGAAGCCCCGGCUAACUACGUGCCAGCAGCCGCGGUAAUACGUAGGGGGCAAGCGUUAUCCGGAUUUACUGGGUGUAAAGGGAGCGUAGACGGCAAUACAAGUCGGAAGUGAAAUACCCGGGCUCAACCUGGGAACUGCUUUGGAAACUGUAUGGCUGGAGUGCUGGAGAGGUAAGCGGAAUUCCUAGUGUAGCGGUGAAAUGCGUAGAUAUUAGGAGGAACACCAGUGGCGAAGGCGGCUUACUGGACAGUAACUGACGUUGAGGCUCGAAAGCGUGGGGAGCAAACAGGAUUAGAUACCCGAGUA